AAGGAAAUGUACCUUGUGCAGCAGGUACAAAUUAACACUUUGGGAAGUGUAAAUUAAUGAAUGUGUUUAUGUGAAACAGAGGGGACACAGAAUUGUGAAUCGUCCCUAGAAUCAGUUGUACCCAACAGUUUUCCAUGAUAUCAUAGUGUCGAUUCAAAGAGUUAUAAACUUAGUAGUUUGGUCGGAUUGACUGUGAGUACAGAGAAAUUUGAUGAGUUAUAUGUUCAGCCGUACAGGCCACGAGAAGUGGAUUCGAUUGAACACAUGCGAAAUUUGUGAGUUAUAGGCUCGGCCGA
This 296-nucleotide long non-coding RNA is filed under the name Malus domestica (apple). Its description in RNAcentral is "long non-coding RNA (MDOM_LNC001108)". Lineage: Eukaryota; Viridiplantae; Streptophyta; Magnoliopsida; Rosales; Rosaceae. The record is from RNAcentral.